Molecule: ribosomal RNA, 441 nt
Filed under: Triticum aestivum (bread wheat)
Lineage: Eukaryota; Viridiplantae; Streptophyta; Magnoliopsida; Poales; Poaceae
Description: partial small subunit ribosomal RNA
Source: RNAcentral
AUGAAAUUGUUGCUAUUGCACCGACACAUGAUAGUCCUAUUUAUCUUUUUGAAUUCUCCCAACUACACUAUAUCGGAGAAGUUUGCACCUAUUAAGGAUUACAUUGAUGAGUUGCCUUUUAUCGUUGCACAUGAUAAUUUUGAUGAAUGUAACAUGCAUGUGCUUGUUGCUCCUACUUGCAAUUAUUAUGAGAGAGGAACUACAUCUCUGCCUCUUUAUGUUUUCGAUACGAUAAAAUUGCAAGAAAGUGCUUAUACUAUGUAUUGGCCUUUACUUGAUGUGCAUGAAUUGUUCUUGUAUGACAUGCCGAUGCAUAGGAAGAGAGUUAGACUUCGUCAUUGCAUGAUAUAUGUUGCUUUGUGCUCAUUACUAAAUGCCAAAUCAUUGUUAAUUAAAAUUGGCUUUGAUAUACCUUGGGAUCCGGGUGGAUUCAUUACUUGA